GAAUGUGAUACUUGUGUCUUCAUUAUACGGAGAAUAACGGAUUAUGCGGUUUGCGGCUAGUUUUAGCGGAAGUAGCACACGAAGAAAAUGAUAGGAAAUAAAUCAAAUUAACGAGGCGAAAUAAACAGAGGUUAUCCAUUUUUAAUCUAUCGCUAUUUUCUUCUGUUUACGAUAAGUUAUUCGCAACGUUGAAUCGUAUAUUUGAUUGUCUGAAACCAGGGAUGAUUGCAGCGGCACACUCGACUUGUCCGACAUUAAGUCGACCUUGAGGCCAAGCAUGCCACGUUUACAACCGCCUUAUGUCGGAUACGUUUUACGAAAGACACAGCGAUCAGAAAACUCGAUAUGAUUUUAUAGCUAACAAUCUCUCCUUUUAAAGCACUACGAGAUGUUCAUAAUUAAUACAGCAAGCUGAAUAUCAAGGAUUCAUUAUAUUGCUUCACACUACAACAGCCAAUAUAUUAGUAAAGAGAAGAGAGACAUAUAAGAGUGAAAUACGUGUUCACAAAUAGUUCAGGGACGAAACAUUAACGUCAUCCAUCCUUCGAAAUCGAGCUGCAAAAAUGUUGUAAUCGUGAUAGGACGUGACACAAACAAUGAUGGGGAUUAGUAAGCGCGGACUACCUCUAGGAAGAAUAG
Formica exsecta is the source of this 639-nucleotide long non-coding RNA. RefSeq lists it as uncharacterized. The transcript is spliced from 3 exons. The record is from RefSeq and is a predicted model, not a curated record. Lineage: Eukaryota; Metazoa; Arthropoda; Insecta; Hymenoptera; Formicidae.